AAUAAGUGUUUUACUGCACUUUUUAAAAAUAGUACUCACCUAAAAAAAACACUUACACCAACCUAUAAUUUUGAACCACUUUGUCUGAAAAACUAUUAUGAAUACUUAAUUCAAAAUACAACUUUCAACAACGGAUCUCUUGGCUCU
RNAcentral lists this unclassified non-coding RNA (147 nucleotides) under rhizosphere metagenome. RNAcentral describes it as "partial ribosomal RNA internal transcribed spacer region". The record is from RNAcentral.